Arabidopsis thaliana (thale cress) is the source of this 265-nucleotide long non-coding RNA. RefSeq annotates it as other RNA. The transcript has a single exon. The record is from RefSeq. NCBI's taxonomy places the organism in Eukaryota, Viridiplantae, Streptophyta, Magnoliopsida, Brassicales, Brassicaceae.
CGAUGAUCUUCUCUCCAACCUUAGCUUGUAAAUCUCAGAUUGUUCUGCACCUUUUUUUCUUAACCAUGAGAAUUGUGUUUUCUGACUUCAGAAAACCCUGAGUUGACAUUUGGAAGACACUAUAAAAGAAAAGCCAAGAAAGAUUCUUUCCUUUUGGAUUGGUAAUAGAUCAAUGUGCCUCUGUCAUCAUUUAGAUGUUUCUUACAGUUUUGUGGGUCAAUUACUUUGGUAGUCUUAUCCUCAAGACAACAAGUCAUGGGUACAA